GGUGGAGCAUGUGGUUUAAUUCGAUGAUACGCGAGGAACUUACCUGGGCUCAAAUAGUAUGUUGACGUAUUCUGAAAGGGAUACUUCUUCGGACAAUAUACAAGGUGCUGCAUGGUUGUCGUCAGCUCGUGCCGUGAGGUGUCGGGUUAAGUCCCAUAACGAGCGCAACCCUACCUUUAGUUGCCAUCAGGUUAAGCUGGGGACGUCUAAAGGAACUGCCUACGCAAGUAGUGAGGAAGGCGGGGAUGACGUCAAAUCAGCACGGCCCUUACGUCCAGGGCUACACACGUGCUACAAUGGCCGAUACAGAGGGCAGCUACCUGGUGACAGGAUGCAAAUCUCCAAAGUCGGUCUCAGUUCGGAUCGGAGUCUGCAACCCGACUCCGUGAAGUUGGAUUCGCUAGUAAUCGCGCAUCAGCCAUGGCGCGGUGAAUACGUUCCCGGGCCUU
Molecule: ribosomal RNA, 449 nt
Filed under: uncultured Sphingobacteriales bacterium
Lineage: Bacteria; Pseudomonadati; Bacteroidota; Sphingobacteriia; Sphingobacteriales
Description: bacterial SSU rRNA
Rfam family: Bacterial small subunit ribosomal RNA
Source: RNAcentral